This is a long non-coding RNA of Eriocheir sinensis (Chinese mitten crab), 4216 nucleotides long. RefSeq lists it as uncharacterized. NCBI's taxonomy places the organism in Eukaryota, Metazoa, Arthropoda, Malacostraca, Decapoda, Varunidae. The record is from RefSeq and is a predicted model, not a curated record. The transcript is spliced from 2 exons.
CACAGGUUGUCGUACUUAGCCUCAUGUUUUCCGAUUUCCGACCCACAAACUGUCUCCUCCACUCCAAUAACUACAUUUAUUUAUAGUUACCGGUGAAAGGUUUAAUUAUGAGUGUCUUUUUGCUGUAGAUAAGUGUCUGAAAGCAGUAAAUACAAUGGUGGAUACGAUAAUCUGGGAAUGCUGGGUCAUUUAACAAGUAAGAAUAUUAGAAAAUUAAAGAAAGAAAAAGGAAGAAAGAGAAUGAUAGGAAGUUAAAGAGAAGAAGAAAGAAGAAAAAAAAUAAUGUAACGCCGCUUUGCCUCGCCUCAGGGAAAACAAAGGCGCCUCACGAUCCGCAACGUUCGCCAUGAAAAAGAGGGGAAAAAAAAGUGAAUUUCCCGGAUUUUGGAGAUUUGUGAGCAUGAUACGCGUGCUUGAUGAAAAUAAAAAUACAAAAAACGAAUAAAAGUCCUCCACGUAAUUUCUUUCUUCAGGGAUAUUGCGCCCUAAGUACGAGUUUUUUUUUUUUAUAUAUUUAAUUAAUUCCCUACUUUUGUUUCCUUUAUUCAGUUUCUUGGUUACAUAUAAAGUCAAAUUACCUUGUCAGUUUUUUUUCUUUUUAUUUCCCUUAUAUUAACUAUCAAUCAAUCAAUCCUUUUUUUUUUAAGUUCAUUUUAGUAUUUAGUUUUAGAUUUGUAAAUAAGUUAAGAAGAAAUAAAUAUAUAUAACAUUAUACAUACAAUUUCUCUUCCCAAGGACCGUGACAAGAGUAACCUUUCCUAUAAACGUAUGAGAGAUGAAGGUCUGUGGAGUACUACCAUUGCAUCGAUCAUGUAUAAGCAAAUGGCUCUCUAUAUUGCAAGGAGUUAUUGCAUUAUGAAGAGCGCCUGAGUGAGUUACCUGGUAGUGCGUGUAUACCUGAGUGACUGAUGACGUAGCUUUUACCUGUAGUGAUGCAUUAUUUCAGGUAAAGGAGGGAAGGAAGAGUUAGGGAUCGAGAGGAAUGGAAUAGGAAGAGAAUAUAUAAAUUGAGUUACCUUGUAGUGCGUGAUAUACCUGAUUGAGUGGCUGAUGGCGUAGCUAUACCUGAACUGAUGCAUUAUUUCAGGUAAAGGAGGGAAGGAAGAGUUAGGGAUCGAGAGGAAUGGAAUAGGAAGAGUAUAUAUUAAUUGAGUUACCUUGUGGUGAUAUACCUGAGUGACUAAUGAUCAACGUACCUAUUACCUGUACUGAUGCGCAUUAUUUGAGGUACGGUACAUCAGGUAGAUAUAAUGAUAAUUCUGACUAACUAAAGAUGAACUAAUGCAGAUAUAAUUCGCUUGCUAUUAUUAUUAUUAUUAUUAUUAGUUAUUAUUAUUAUUUAGGGGGGAAGAUGAGUGACUUUUAUUUUAUUUCCGUAGCAAUUAACAAAGAUUAGAUGUGUCUUUUUCUAUUAUUUACUGUACUAUAGUUAAUGUUAUAUAUAUUCAUGAUUAUUUUGAUUAUUAUUUUAUUUAUUCAUGGAACAAUUAAUUAGCAGAGUCGAUGAAGCGUAUUUCGUUAUUUUUCUUCUUCAUUUUACUGUAUUUAUUAUUUAUUUAUGAAAGUUUUAUGUACUUUGCUAUUUGAGAACUCUCCUUCCUCAUAGUCCACUUUUUUUCGCGGUCCACUUAGCUCUCUCUCUCUCUCUCUCUCUCUCUCUCUCUCUCUCUCUCUCUCUCUCUCUCUCAGAUGAUUCUCCAUUUCCACAUCGCUUUCCUCUGCGUAACUUUCCCUUUUGUGUUCACGGACAGCGAGCAUCUACGUGUGUGUGUGUGUGUGUGUGUGUGUGUGUGUGUGUGUGUGUGAUUUAUUUUUAUGUUCAGAAGAGUGCGUCAACCUAGCUCGUAAUGGCUCAUGUGUGUGUGUGUGUGUGUGUGUGUGUGUGUGUGUGUUCAUCCUUCACCCACUUAUUAAAAUCAAUGUGGUUAAGUAAAUUGCUUUGGUAUUUGAGGAAUUCUAAGAAGAGGUUACUAAAUAUAUAAGUCCCCCCCCCCUCUCUCUCUCUCUCUCUCUCUAUCUCUUGUCACAAACACAAUAAUGGCAAUCAAUAAUCCUGUUAAUGGCUAAUAAUCAUUGCUCUGGGUGACUCACGUGAUCAGUUAUAGGCAAUCAGUUAGCCAUAAAAGAUAACCACAUAAUAUUCUAUACUUAUACCUGAUCCUGCUACCACCACUACUACUACUACUACUACUACUACUAUUACUAUUUCUUCUUCCACUUCUACUACUCUGUGUGUUUAUCAUUAUAUUUACUAUCCACCUCAAUUAUCAUAUCCAUCUUUUCACCAUCCUCCUCCUUACCAUCACCACCACCACCACUACUUCAUUGUUACGGACAUAUUAAUACCCUCCACUAAUACAUGAACCCCAAAAUUAUACACACAAGUUGAAAAUAUAAUACGAGAGGAAAAUAUAUACCAAGAAACAUAGAACUUUGUAGACGGUGAAGGAAAUUAUUAAUGGAAGAAAAAGAACUUUGUAGACGGUGAAGGAAAUUAUUAAUGGAAGAAAAACUAACUUAAAAAUUACCCCUUAAAAGAAAAAAAGAAUCCAUGUUUGUCACCCCAAUAAGAUGGAGUUCCAAAAAUUGAUAUUGUUCCACAUUGAAUAAAAGUUAAAAAUACAAGAAAGAAUACUAGCAAAAAAUAACACACACUUUAAAAUAUAAUACAAGAGGAAAAUAUAUACCAAGAAACACCUUUUUCAACCUUACACUCAUACCAGAACUCCUAAAAAUAGUUAAUAUGAGAAAGGUAUCCCAAUAACCCCACAUAGUACCCACCCCACAACCCCACAAAAUACCACACACUUGAAAAUACCAUACGAGAGGAAGGUAUGUACUAGGACACACCUUUUUCACCCUUCCAAUAAUACCAGAACCCCCAAAAAGUUAAAAAUACAAGAAAGAAUACUAACUAAAAUAACACACACACUUGAAAAUACCAUACGAGAGGAAGGUAUGUACUAGGACACACCUUUUUCAACCUUCCUCUAAUACCAGAACCCCCAAAAUACUUAAUAUGAGAAAGGUAUCCCAAUAACCCACUACCAACACCACAACCCCACAAAAUACCACACACUUAAAAAUACCAUACGAGAGGAAGGUAUGUACUAGGACACACCUUUUUCAACCUUCCUCUAAUACCAGAACCCCCAAAAUACUUAAUAUGAGAAAGGUAUCCCAAUAACCCACUACCAACACCACAACCCCACAAAAUACCACACACUUGAAAAUACCAUACGAGAGGAAGGUAUGUAAUAGGACACACCUUUUUCACCCUUCCUCUAAUACCAGAACCCCCAAAAUACUUAAUAUGAGAAAGGUAUCCCAAUAACCCACUACCAACACCACAACCCCACAAAAUACCACACACUUGAAAAUAUAAUACGAGGAAAAUAUAUACCAAGAAACACCUUUAGAAACAUUCCUCUUAUACCAGAACCCCCCCAAAAUACUUAAUAUGAGAAGUGUACCAAUAAUCCCACUACCAACACCACAACCCCACAAAAUACCACACACUUGAAAAUAUAAUACGAGGAAAAUAUAUACCAAGAAACACCUUUAGAAACAUUCCUCUUAUACCAGAACCUCCUCAAAAUACUUAAUAUGAGAAGUGUACCAAUAAUCCCACUACCAACACCACAACCCCACAAAAUACCACACACUUGAAAAUAUAAUACGAGGAAAAUAUAUACCAAGAAACACCUUUAGAAACAUUCCUCUUAUACCAGAACCCCCCCCAAAAUACUUAAUAUGAGAAGUGUACCAAUAACCCCACUACCAACACCACAACUCCACAAAAUACCACACACUUGGACAUACAGUACAGGAGGAAGGUGCAUACUAACAAGAGGCACAGAAACGAACCUUCUUCACUGUGUAGUAGUAAUAUAUUUCUCUCCGAGGUUCAGACUCGAUACAAAGGUCCUGAUAGUAGGGAAUAGCUAGUCUUGCAAACUUAACAGAGUAGUAUGAAAAGAUCUGUUCUGGGCUGUUCGUGCUGUCCGUUGUCUGUCUGUCUAUUCACAAACAUAAUAAAAGAGGUUGCAGAAGAAAUAGUAACAGUAGUAAUAGUAGUAGUAGUAUCAAAUUGUCAUAGUAUUAAGGGGAAGGGAAUGAAGAACGGAUACUCAGGAGGAAGAGAAAAGAAGGACGGAAGAAAUGAUAAAAUGAGUGAAAGGAGGAGGAAGGAGACCAGGGAGGAGAAAAAUAAAAA